Vulpes vulpes (red fox) is the source of this 97-nucleotide small nuclear RNA. Lineage: Eukaryota; Metazoa; Chordata; Mammalia; Carnivora; Canidae. The record is from Ensembl.
GUGCUUGCUUCAGCAGCACAUAUACUAAAAUUGGAAUGAUACAGAGAAGAUUAGUACGGUCUUUGCACAAGGAUAACAUGAAGCAUUCCAUAUUUUU